RNAcentral lists this long non-coding RNA (495 nucleotides) under Ficedula albicollis (Collared flycatcher). Its description in RNAcentral is "lncRNA (ENSFALG00000025028.1)". Lineage: Eukaryota; Metazoa; Chordata; Aves; Passeriformes; Muscicapidae. The record is from RNAcentral.
CCCCCCCCCCCCCCCCCCCCCCCCCCCCCCCCCCCCCGGGGCAGCCGCUGCCGGGCCCCGAGGGCUGGGCGGCUGCAGGUGGGCCUGGGAGGGAUGGGCACUAGGGGUUUGCUCGUCCUUGAAGGUGCCUUCCUGCCCCUCUCCUCACGCCUACAUCUCCGGAGGCUGGGGACAAUCCCUAGAGAGGGACACAAGUCUGCUGUCCUUGCCAGCGGUGACACCUGAGCAGAGCCUUUGCCUCGGGAAGCGGGCGCCACGUUCUGCAGAACAGACUGAAUCCUCACAAAGGAGAAAGUUCAUUUAAAGAAAGUAUUUCUUUUUUGAAGCCGAUGCUCCGACUUUUGUUAAGUGUAGUUCAACUUCACAUCCUGAUUUUCCUCCAGGACCCAGGCAGGAAAUUCAAAAGGAAGCCAUACUCUGGAUUUAAAGGAAGGGUGCCAGCUGCAAAGUGUGAGAUUCAGUCUUCUUCCCCAGUGAUCUCCACUGGGACAGCAG